GACGGUUUGGCCGAGUGGUCUAAGGCGUUGGAUUUAGGCUCCAAUCCCAAAGGGCGUGGGUUCAAAUCCCACAGCCGUCA
This 80-nucleotide transfer RNA is filed under the name Selaginella moellendorffii. RNAcentral describes it as "tRNA tRNA-Leu". It matches the Rfam family "tRNA". From Rfam's summary of the family: Transfer RNA (tRNA) molecules are approximately 80 nucleotides in length. Their secondary structure includes four short double-helical elements and three loops (D, anti-codon, and T loops). Lineage: Eukaryota; Viridiplantae; Streptophyta; Lycopodiopsida; Selaginellales; Selaginellaceae. The record is from Rfam by way of RNAcentral.